CCUACGGGGGGCAGCAGUGGGGAAUUUUGGACAAUGGGCGAAAGCCUGAUCCAGCCAUGCCGCGUGAGUGAAGAAGGCCUUCGGGUUGUAAAGCUCUUUUGUCCGGGAGGAAAUCCCGCAACCUAAUACGUUGCGGGGAUGACAGUACUGGAAGAAUAAGCACCGGCUAACUACGUGCCAGCAGCCGCGGUAAUACGUAGGGUGCAAGCGUUAAUCGGAAUUACUGGGCGUAAAGCGUGCGCAGGCGGUUUGAUAAGUCAGAUGUGAAAUCCCCGGGCUUAACCUGGGAACUGCGUUUGAAACUGUCAAGCUAGAGUACGUCAGAGGGGGGUGGAAUUCCACGUGUAGCAGUGAAAUGCGUAGAGAUGUGGAGGAACACCGAUGGCGAAGGCAGCCCCCUGGGAUGAUACUGACGCUCAUGCACGAAAGCGUGGGGAGCAAACAGGAUUAGAUACCCCAGUAGUC
Molecule: ribosomal RNA, 465 nt
Filed under: uncultured bacterium
Lineage: Bacteria
Description: bacterial SSU rRNA
Rfam family: Bacterial small subunit ribosomal RNA
Source: RNAcentral